CCUACGGGUGGCAGCAGUGGGGAAUAUUGCACAAUGGGCGCAAGCCUGAUGCAGCCAUGCCGCGUGUGUGAAGAAGGCCUUCGGGUUGUAAAGCACUUUCAGCGGGGAGGAAGGCGUUAAGGUUAAUAACCUUGGCGAUUGACGUUACCCGCAGAAGAAGCACCGGCUAACUCCGGUGCCAGCAGCCGCGGUAAUACGGAGGGUGCAAGCGUUAAUCGGAAUUACUGGGCGUAAAGCGCACGCAGGCGGUCUGUCAAGUCGGAUGUGAAAUCCCCGGGCUCAACCUGGGAACUGCAUUCGAAACUGGCAGGCUAGAGUCUUGUAGAGGGGGGUAGAAUUCCAGGUGUAGCGGUGAAAUGCGUAGAGAUCUGGAGGAAUACCGGUGGCGAAGGCGGCCCCCUGGACAAAGACUGACGCUCAGGUGCGAAAGCGUGGGGAGCAAACAGGAUUAGAUACCCCGGUAGUC
RNAcentral lists this ribosomal RNA (466 nucleotides) under uncultured Klebsiella sp. Its description in RNAcentral is "bacterial SSU rRNA". It matches the Rfam family "Bacterial small subunit ribosomal RNA", at positions 338 to 795 of the family's 1533-position model. Lineage: Bacteria; Pseudomonadati; Pseudomonadota; Gammaproteobacteria; Enterobacterales; Enterobacteriaceae. The record is from RNAcentral.